CACAGCACUAUGCAAAACGAGCCACAAAUCGAUAACGUCAAACAAUCGGAACUUCUAACUCAUGAACAAAAUAAACAGCUGUAACAACUAUGAAAAUGUAAACAACAAAGAUCGGGCCCCGGUUCCGGACCCAGCGUACCCGCCCAACCAUGAGACGAGCACCUACACUCGUCUUCCUCAUUUUGUCCAUUAGAUGGCCAUCAGCCUGUGCCGGCUGUUAUGCCAAUUCUCCCCAACGAAGAAAAUUUAACCGAACAUUUCUCUCAUCAGAUACGCUAUUUCGAAUCUCUUACAAGUGGAUAUUUGGUUAGCUUCACAGCACUAAGUGGAACAGGCGACGAAAUUCUACCAGGAUACUGCUAGUCGCCGCAAAAACAAAACACGCACGAAGGAAAUUUGGAUGCAAACGUUGCGCCAAUUUAGGACCAAUGUGCCCACACAACUACGCAAAACUGGGUAUGCCACGAAUAUCGGUCGUGCAACAGAGCUCUCUGGGGGAGGUAAGGGGCGAUGUAAAUGGAUAAUUCCAAUUAGGCGCAGAUGCAUCACCCUUGGAAAUUCCCUCACCGUUCGCACUCUAAAGUGAAACUCGGCGUAAGUGCCUAUG
This is a long non-coding RNA of Drosophila novamexicana, 607 nucleotides long. RefSeq lists it as uncharacterized. The transcript is spliced from 6 exons. The record is from RefSeq and is a predicted model, not a curated record. NCBI's taxonomy places the organism in Eukaryota, Metazoa, Arthropoda, Insecta, Diptera, Drosophilidae.